CUGAAACAGUGAGGUAGUGACAAUAAAUAACAAUGCCGGGCCUUUACAGGUCUGGCAAUUGGAAUGAGAACAAUUUAAAUCCCUUAUCGAGUAUCAAUUGGAGGGCAAGUCUGGUGCCAGCAGCCGCGGUAAUUCCAGCUCCAAUAGCGUAUAUUAAAGUUGUUGCAGUUAAAAAGCUCGUAGUUGGAUUUCUGGCAGGAGCGUCCGGUCUCACACUCAGUGCGGGAACUUGGAUGUCUCUGGCCAUCUUUGGGGAUAUCCUGUUUGGCAUUAAGUUGUCGGGCAGGGGAUACCCAUCGUUUACUGUGAAAAACUUAGAGUGUUUAAAGCAGGCUUAUGCCGUUGAAUAUAUUAGCAUGGAAUAAUAAGAUAGGACGUAGGUACUAUUUUGUUGGUUUGCGCACCCACGUAAUGAUUAAUAGAGACAGGCGGGGCUAUUCGUAUUGCAUUGUCAGAGGUGAAAUUCUUGGAUUUCUGCAAGACGAACUACUGCG
This 494-nucleotide ribosomal RNA is filed under the name uncultured diatom. RNAcentral's name for it is "SSU rRNA". It matches the Rfam family "Eukaryotic small subunit ribosomal RNA", at positions 451 to 947 of the family's 1831-position model. Lineage: Eukaryota; Bacillariophyta. The record is from RNAcentral.